AAUAUUGCGCAAUGUACGGAAGUCUGACGCAGCGACGCCGCGUGAGCGAUGAAGGCCUUCUGGUCGUAAAGCUCUGUCCUUGGGGAAGAAGGUCUUCGGACUUGACGGUACCCAAGAAGAAAGCCCCGGCUAACUACGUGCCAGCAGCCGCGGUAAUACGUAGGGGGCGAGCGUUGUCCGGAAUUACUGGGCGUAAAGGGUGCGUAGGCGGCACUUUAAGUCAGAUGUGAAAGGCCAGGGCUCAACCGUGGAAUUGCAUUUGAAACUGAAUUACUUGAGUGCAGGAGAGGCGAGCGGAAUUCCUAGUGUAGCGGUGAAAUGCGUAGAUAUUAGGAAGAACACCAGUGGCGAAGGCGGCUCUCUGGACUGUAACUGACGCUGAGGCGCGAAAGCGUGGGUAGCGAAC
Molecule: ribosomal RNA, 406 nt
Filed under: uncultured bacterium
Lineage: Bacteria
Description: partial 16S ribosomal RNA
Rfam family: Bacterial small subunit ribosomal RNA
Source: RNAcentral